Molecule: ribosomal RNA, 253 nt
Filed under: uncultured bacterium
Lineage: Bacteria
Description: partial 16S ribosomal RNA
Rfam family: Bacterial small subunit ribosomal RNA
Source: RNAcentral
UACGUAGGGGGCUAGCGUUGUCCGGAAUCAUUGGGCGUAAAGAGCGUGUAGGCGGCCACGCAGGUCCGUUGUGAAAACUGAAGGCUCAACCUCCAGACGUCGACGGAAACCGUAUGGCUAGAGUCCGGAAGAGGAGAGUGGAAUUCCUGGUGUAGCGGUGAAAUGCGCAGAUAUCAGGAAGAACACCAAUGGCGAAGGCAGCUCUCUGGGACGGUACUGACGCUGAGACGCGAAAGCGUGGGGAGCGAACAGG